This 3566-nucleotide ribosomal RNA is filed under the name Oryzias latipes (Japanese medaka). Its description in RNAcentral is "eukaryotic LSU rRNA". It matches the Rfam family "Eukaryotic large subunit ribosomal RNA", at positions 1 to 2772 of the family's 3401-position model. The record is from RNAcentral. Lineage: Eukaryota; Metazoa; Chordata; Actinopteri; Beloniformes; Adrianichthyidae.
UCGACCUCAGAUCAGACGAGACGAUCCGCUGAAUUUAAGCAUAUUACUAAGCGGAGGAAAAAAACUAACCGGAUUCCCUUCAGAGCGGCGAGCGAAGAGGGAAGAGCCCGCGCCGAAUCCAGUCCGGCGGGCGGACGAGGGAAAUUGGCGUCCGGAAGACCGCUUGCCCGGUUGCGCGCGGGGCGCUGAGUCCUUCUGAUAGAGGCUCAGCCCGUAGGCGUUGUGAGGCCGGUGUCGGCCCCCGUCGCGCCGGGGUCCGGCCUUCUCGGAGUCGGGUUGGGUCCGGCCUUCUCGGAGUCGGGUUGGUUGGGAAUGCAGCCCAAGCGGGUGGUAAACCUCCAUCAAGGCUAAAUACCGGCACGAGACCGAUAUCGACAGUACCUUAAGGCAAGGUUGAAAAAGAACUUUGAAGAGAGAUCAAGAGGGCGUGAAACCGUUGAGAGGUAAACGGGUGGGGUCCGCGCGGCCGCUCGGGGGAUUCAGCCCGUCGGGCAAGGGUUGGCGGCCGGGCGCCGGUUGGGAUCCACUUGUGGGACCCCCCGCCCGACCCUGACCGGCCCCCGCCGGGUGCAUUUCCCCCGCGGCGGUGCGUCGCGACCGGCUCCGGCUCGGCCAUGAAGGGCCCGGGGGCGAAGGUGGCACGCGGCCCUGGCUGCCGCGUGCUUUACAGCGCCCCCCCCCGGACUUCGCCCGCCGGGGCGUGGAACUAAGUGCCACUGCGCCCUCUCUCCCCCCGCGGGAGGGACGGGGCCCCUCCGCCCCCGGCGCGACUGUCGACUGGGGCGUACUGUUCCCAGUGCGCCUCGACCGCGUCGCGCCCCCCCGGCGGGGUCGGCCCACGUACAACGGGCGCAAGGGGUCAGCGGCGAUGUCGGCUACCCACCCGACCCCCUUGUAACACGGACCAAGGAGUGCGCCACGGGGCCGAGUCAGAGGGUGCCGAACGAAACCCCGUGGCGCAAUGAAAGGAGGGCCGGCGCGCGCCGGCUGAGGUGGGAUCCCGGGCCGACCUCGGUCCCGGGCGCUCCACCUCCCCGUCUCGCCCGCCCCUGCGGGGAGGGGGAGCGUGAGCGCGUGCGAUAGGACCCGAACGAUUGUUGAACUAUGCCUGGGCAGGGCGAAGCCAGAGGUAUGCCUGGGCAGGGCGAAGCCAGAGGCAACUCUGGUGGAGGCCAAGCGGUCCUGACGUGCAAAUCGGUCGUCCGACCUGGUUAGGGGCCGUAAGACCCUCACCAUCUAUAGGGGCGAAAGACUAAUCGAACCAUCAAGAGCUGGUUCCCUCUGGAGUUUCCCUCAGGAUAGCUGGCGCUCGAAGUCUCGCGCUUUAUCUGGUAAAGCGGUCUCGCAGUUUUAUCUGGUAAAGCGAAUUAUUAGAGGCGUGGGGCCGAAACGAUCUCACCUAAUCCUCAACUUUAAAUGGGUAAGAAGCCCGGCUCGCUGGCUUCCAACCUAUUCUCAAACUUUAAAUGGAAGAACCCGGCUCGCUGGCCUUGGAGGCCGGGGUGGAAUCGAGCGCCAGUGGGCCAUUUUUGUAAGCAGUCUGGCGUGCGGGAUGAACCGAAAGCCGGGUUAAGGCGGCCGGAGCCCGACGCUCAUCAGCCCCCAGAAAAGGGUUUUGUGAUAUAGACAGCGGGCGGUGGCCAGGAAGUCGGAACCCGCUAAGGAGUGGGCCAUGGAAGUGGGCACCCGCUAAGGAGCUGUACAAAACCACCUGCCGAAUCAACUACCCUGAAAAGGAUGGCGCUGGACCGUCGGGCCCAUAACCGGGCCGUCGCCGGCAACGGGAGCCGGCGAGGGCUAGGCCGCGACGAGUAGGAGGGCGCCGCGGUGCGCACAGAAGCCUGGGGCGCGAGCCGGGGUGGAGCCGCCGCGGGGGGAUCUUGGUGGUAGUAGCAAAUAUUCAAACGAGAAUUUUAAGGCCAAGUGGAGAAGGGUUCCAUGUAACAGCGUUGAACAUGGGCAGUCGUCCUAAGGGAUGGGCGAACGCCGUUCGGAGGUGCGGGGCGAUGGCCUUGUCCCCCCGGCCGAUCGAAAGGGAUCGGGUUCAGAUCCCCGAACCUGGGGGGGGGUUCAGAUCCCCGAACCUGGAGUGGCGGAUACAGGCGCCGCGAGGCGUCCAGUGCGGUAAUCGGAACAGGCGCCGCGAAGCCGUCCAGUGCGGGACGCAAGCGAACCCGGAGAAGCCGGCGGGAGCCCCGGGGAGAGUUCCUCUUUUCUUUGUGAAGUCAGGGGGCCCUGGAAUGGGUUCGCCCCGAGAGAGGGGCCCGUGCCCUGGAAACGUCGCGGUUCCGGCGGCGUCCGGUGGCUCUCGCGGUUCCGGCGGCGUCCGGUGAGCUCUCCCGGCCCUUGAAAAUCGGGGGAGAGGGUGUAAGUCCGCGCCAGGCCGCUUAUCUCCCUUGAUCUAACAUGCCACGGGCGUACCCAUAUCCCAGCAGGUCCAAGGUGAACAGCUCUUGCAUUAGUCAAGGAGGCUAAAGGGAGUCGGCAAAUCAGAUCCGUAACUUCGGGUAAGGAUUGGCUCUAAGGGCUGGGUCGGUCGGGUGGGGUGCGAAGCGAGGCUGGGCUCGCGCCGCGGCUGGAGGAGCAGUCGCCCCGUCGCCCUCCUCUCUCCGCCGCCGGAGGCGCGGCGACGGCCCGCCCUGUGGGGGGUUUUCCCCGCUCUCCUCCGUCUGGCUCGUCCAGGCGGCGGGGGGUCGGGGGGGCUUCUCGCGGGGCGGUGUCCGGCGCCGUGCGGAAGGCGGGUCGUGGGAGGGGGCCGGGUACGGCGGGUGCGGCUGCGACUCUGGACGCGCGCCGGGCCCUUCUCGCGGAUCUCCCCAGCUGCGGCUCCCGCCGGGGGUCCCCCCGUCUCGGCGGUGGGGCUCCCCCCGGCGGGCUGCCUCGGCCGGCACCUAGCAGUGACUUAGAACUGGUGCGGGACCAGGGGAAUCCGACUGUUUAAUUAAAACAAAGCAUCGCGAGGGCCCGCGGCGGGUGUUGACCGAUGGUGAUUUCUGCCCAGUGCUCUGAAUUCAAAGUGAAGAAAAAUCAAGCGCGGGUAAACGGCGGGAGUAACUAUGUCUCUCUUUUAAGGUAGCCAAAUGCCUCGUCAUCAAUUAGUGACCGCUGAAGGGUGAACGAGAUUCCCACUGUCCCCAACCUCCUAUCUAGCGAAACCACAGCCAAGGGAACGGGCUUGCAGCAUCAGCGGGGAAAGAGACCUGUUGAGCUUGACUCUACUGGCACUGUGAAGAGACAUGAGAGGUGUAGAAUAAGUGGGGGGCCCUCGCCCGCCGGUGAAAUACCACUACUCUUAUCGUUUUUUCACUUACCCGGUGGGGCGGGGAGGCGUGCCCCGAGCGGGCUCUCGCUCUGGUGUCAAGCGCCCGGCUUCCAGGCCGGUCGUGACCGCUCGGGGACAGUGGCAGGUAGGAGUUUGACUGGGGCGGUACACCUGUCAAACGGUAACGCAGGUGUUCCUAAGGCGAGCUCAGGGAGGACAGAAACCUCCCGUGGAGUAGAAGGCAAAAGCUCGCUUGAUCUUAUUUUCAGUAUGCAAUACAGACCGGGAAACGGGGCCUCACGAU